UUCGCAAUGCCCGAAAGGGUGACGAAGCGACGCCGCGUGCGGGAAGAAGGCCUUCGGGUUGUAAACCGCUGUCGAGAGUUAGGAAGUGCAAGGAUGUUAAUAGCGUUCUUGCUUGACUAAGGCUCCGGAGGAAGCCACGGCUAACUCUGUGCCAGCAGCCGCGGUAAUACAGAGGUGGCGAGCGUUGUUCGGUAUUAUUGGGCGUAAAGAGCACGUAGGUGGUUUUGUAAGUCAGGUGUGAAAGCCUUCUGUUCAAAGGAAGAACGGCAUCUGAAACUGCAGAUCUUGAGUGUAGGAGGGGAGAGUGGAACUUCUGGUGGAGCGGUGAAAUGCGUAGAUAUCAGAAGGAACGUCGGCGGCGAAAGCGACUCUCUGGCCUAUUACUGACACUGAGUGUGCGAAAGUUAGGGGAGCAAACGGGAUUAGAUACCCCGGUAGUCCUAACUGUAAACGAUGGGCACUAAGUAGAGGGGUUUU
Molecule: ribosomal RNA, 477 nt
Filed under: uncultured anaerobic ammonium-oxidizing bacterium
Lineage: Bacteria
Description: bacterial SSU rRNA
Rfam family: Bacterial small subunit ribosomal RNA
Source: RNAcentral